Molecule: non-coding RNA, 116 nt
Organism: Acanthosepion pharaonis
Lineage: Eukaryota; Metazoa; Mollusca; Cephalopoda; Sepiida; Sepiidae
Source: the annotation of a GenBank genome assembly
UGACCAUAUCAUGUUGAAACACCGGUUCUCGAACGAUCACCGAGGUUUAAGCAACGUCGAGCCGAGUCUGGUCAGUACCUAGAUGGGUGACCGCUUGGGAAUACCAGGUGCUGCAA